GGAGAAGAAAACGAAGCUAAACAACACUGACCACAGAAAAGAAAACUAAACGUAAAAAUUCUGGAGGCUGGGAAGUCCAAGAUCAAGGCGUCUUUGGUGUCUGAUGAGGACCUUCUUCUUGCUUCACAGAUGGCCGUCUUCUCACCGUGUCCUCACAUGGCAGAAGGGUGGGACCACGAACACUCCAAAAACAGCUGUCCAGGAAUGGAGGUUUCAGUUUUGUGAGGACUUCUGUGGACAAAUAAAUGAAGCAUUAUAAGUCUGGAUAAAGGCUAUCCAAAAAUACUCAGCCAACCAAUGGGAGAAGAAAAAGAGAAAAAGAGGUGACCAAGACAAAUCAUCCUCAAGGAUAAGACCUGAAAGUUGUUCAUAUUUCUGCUCAUAUCCUACUGGAAACAACUUAGUUAUAAGAUGCAAGUAGUUGGAAGUGAUGCUAGGUAAUACAGAAAAUAGCUGAAUGACCAUGUGGGGAAGGUCAAUUACAAAGGGAAAGAACAGCAGAAUGGAUAAUAUGAGAUAUUAGCAACCUCUAAUACAACAACCAUAUCCUAACAAAUUGAGCUAAGCCAAUAUACAUAAUAUAAUAGCAUAAUAGAGUAUAUACUACAGAAGACUAUUAGGUAAAAUAAUUGAAUAAAAAGAUCAGAUGAAGUUCCAUUGAGAAAAUAUUGUCCUUUCAUAUUUGCGCCAGACAUCAUAAUUUUUCUUGGUACAUAGCCUUAGGGAACUAAAACAUUUGUGCAAUAGUCAACAUUUACCAAGUAUAUCAGAGAUACAUGUCUAAACCAUAUUGAACAUGUGUCCUAAAUUUCUAGUUUUCCAGAUGAAGAAGGAAAAGUUUUGUCUGUUGUCUGGGUAUUUUCUUAUUUGGAAUUUCCAGAAAAUUUGCACAACAUAUUUUAAUAUCUCAAUGUUCGGUUAUAUCAUUUAUUAUGUCUUAACAAUCUUUCCACUGUGAUGGGUCCAUAUAAUACAGGUUGUCAUCUGUUGACAAAUUCAGUAGAAACUCUUUACUGUAUUUAAGAAUGAAUGGUCCAUGAAAAGUCCCUCUAAGUAAUAACCAGUGAAGUAUCAGUGAAAAGUCUAUUGUGAGCUGGA
Long non-coding RNA from Equus quagga, 1098 nucleotides. RefSeq lists it as uncharacterized. NCBI's taxonomy places the organism in Eukaryota, Metazoa, Chordata, Mammalia, Perissodactyla, Equidae. The record is from RefSeq and is a predicted model, not a curated record. The transcript is spliced from 4 exons.